RNAcentral lists this ribosomal RNA (295 nucleotides) under uncultured bacterium. Its description in RNAcentral is "partial 16S small subunit ribosomal RNA". It matches the Rfam family "Bacterial small subunit ribosomal RNA", at positions 389 to 681 of the family's 1533-position model. The record is from RNAcentral.
CAGCAACGCCGCGUGAGGGAUGAAGGCCCUCGGGUCGUAAACCUCUUUCGAUCGGGAAAAACGGGCGGGUGAAGAACCCGUUCUGAUGGUACCGGAUGAAGAAGCCCCGGCCAACUACGUGCCAGCAGCCGCGGUAAUACGUAGGGGGCAAGCGUUGUUCGGAAUUACUGGGCGUAAAGGGCGUGUAGGCAGUGCGGUAAGUUGGACGUGAAAUCCCCGGGCUUAACUCGGGGGGGUCGUUCAAAACUGCCGUGCUAGAGUGUGGGAGAGGGAAGUGGAAUUCCCGGUGUAGCGG